UGAAACGAAGGGAAGCGGAUGAGCAAAGCUGUUGGUAUCGUGAUUUUGUGUGUGUGUGUGUCUUUUUCUCUGUUCCUCUCGUUCCCUUUUUUUUCUUCUUCUUCUUCCUCCCGGAGGACGAAGCAGGAUGAAGAAGAAGAAGAGGAUGUUGGAAAAAAAAAAGACUGGUCUGAAGCCAAAGUGGGGGCCGUGGCAGACGGGAGAGGGGCCGAGAGAUAUAGGCGUUGGGCUUUGCCACCGGAAAUGCUUCCCACGUGCUGCAUAAUGACCCUUUGACAUGGAGCCCAAGCGAAGCGUCCUCAACGGGCGUCGACAGCGUCUCGUCCCGUGCUACAGUCAUCUAUUUUUUUUUUCUUUUUUUUCUCUCCUCCCGUCUUUCUUAUUCUUAUAUAUUCUCCUUCUUUUUGACUCCCAACUUCUGCAUGACGUUGUCGUAACAAACCUCUCCCCCACUUUCCGUUUUUUUUUUCUCUCUCUCUCUCUCACUCUCUCCUUCUAUCUAUGUUUUUUGUUGUUGUAUGUAUGAUGUAUGUAUAUAUGUAACUCUGUGUGUGUGUGUGUGUGCGUGUGUGUUGUUUGUUUCGGUCUCCCUCACUCGCUCGCAAAUAGAUUAUUAUAUCUCGUUCCAUCCCUUUCCGGUCGUCCAUCUCUCUCUCUCUCUUCCAUCUUAUCACGGAAUGGUUAUUCUCAUUGACCCGCAGGUUUGGCGUUAGGUGCUGGCACCUCGCGGACCCGUAUCUAUCGUGUAUACGUAAUGCUGACUGCUCUGUGUAUUUAGAUUAUUAUUCCUUUUUUUUUUACUUUCAUCUAGAGACAACCGACCGUCAAAUAAAGGCCCGUCUACUAAAUGAUGGACUUCCUUCCUCAAUUUGAAGCGCGUUGCGCGGCCAUUACGGAUCUGCCACAGACAACAAACGAAAUCAAGUUGGCUUUUGAUGGACGAAGCGUGCGCAGUUGCACGCAGCUACCCCCUCCCCCUCCCCCCCUUAAAAAAAAAAACCCUUAUUCCAAGUAUCAGUCUGAUUUACUUCUCGCUUCUCCCUCUUUUAUUUUUUAUUUUUUUUUUGUUUUCUCCAAAAAAAGACACGGGGAAGUAAAAAGCAAGCAGACAUUCGGCGGUAACGCAAUGCAUCGUUUAGUUCGUUCCAAACGGCCUUUUUCUUUUACAUUCCUUAACUGAACGUCCGCGUGACAAUUUCUUAUGUCGUCCAACCCUCCCCCCCUCGUGGAGGAUAACAACACAAGGUUUGCUGGUCUUGCUCUUCAUCUCCUCCCCCCUCCCUCUCUAGUCUUUUCUCGUGUGUCUCUUUCGUUCUUUCCUUCGUGUUCCAGUGACUUCUACUUCUACUUCUUUUCUUUCUUUUUUUUUUUUAUUUCUCUUCCAGUAUGUGCGCGAAGGGACUGAGGGAGUCCAUUUUUGUGGACAUCUGUGGUGAACCAAAAUAAAACAGCGGCCGAGGAACGAAAAUGGGGAAAGAAAAAAAGAACAACAUAAGGGACAUGACUGUGUGUGUGAGAGUCUUUUUAGGCUGCGCGGGAGUCUUGCGGAAAAAAACAUUCCUUCUUGGGGAGGUACGUGAAGGCAUGGUGGGGGUCAGGAACUAAGAAAAAAAAGAAAAAAAAAAAAAAAAAAAGGAAGAGAGAAUGAAGAACUACUGGAGUAUAUAACCGCGACCGCCAACAACCAUCACGAAAACCAAGAACCAACCAAUCAACUACCCCUUUAAAAAAAAAAAAAAAAAAUGGGGGUUCGCCUCGGAGUACUAUAUCUUUUAGUUAGUGCCAGUGUAUAUACUGUUGUACGCUAAAGUCAAAGUGUAUACGUAAUUCUUUCCGUCCGCCUAUUCCCCCCUCUCUCUCUCUUCAGCUUCGCAGGCUCGUCGGCCGGCCACAGGAUCCUUCAACCUCCGACGCCCAAGUUAAUUAUAACUUGACGUCAGAACAGUCGAAUGACUUUCUUUUUUGUUUUUUUUCCCCAUCUUUUGUGGAAAAUGUAUGGAAAUCUGUGAAAUAAAAAUUAAAAAAAAAAUAAAAAUAAAA
Daphnia magna is the source of this 2040-nucleotide long non-coding RNA. RefSeq lists it as uncharacterized. NCBI's taxonomy places the organism in Eukaryota, Metazoa, Arthropoda, Branchiopoda, Diplostraca, Daphniidae. The transcript has 2 exons. The record is from RefSeq and is a predicted model, not a curated record.